AGUGAACGCUGGCGGUAGGCCUAACACAUGCGAGUCGAACGGCAGCACAGUAAGAGCUUGCUCUUACGGGUGGCGAGUGGCGGACGGGUGAGGAAUACAUCGGAAUCUACUUUUUCGUGGGGGAUAACGUAGGGAAACUUACGCUAAUACCGCAUACGACCUACGGGUGAAAGCAGGGGAUCUUCGGACCUUGCGCGAUUGAAUGAGCCGAUGUCGGAUUAGCUAGUUGGCGGGGUAAAGGCCCACCAAGGCGACGAUCCGUAGCUGGUCUGAGAGGAUGAUCAGCCACACUGGAACUGAGACACGGUCCAGACUCCUACGGGAGGCAGCAGUGGGGAAUAUUGGACAAUGGGCGCAAGCCUGAUCCAGCCAUACCGCGUGGGUGAAGAAGGCCUUCGGGUUGCAAAGCCCUUUUGUUGGGAAAGAAAAGCAGCAGGUUAAUACCCCGCUGUUCUGACGGUACCCAAAGAAUAAGCACCGGCUAACUUCGUG
This 492-nucleotide ribosomal RNA is filed under the name uncultured bacterium. RNAcentral describes it as "partial 16S ribosomal RNA". It matches the Rfam family "Bacterial small subunit ribosomal RNA", at positions 29 to 507 of the family's 1533-position model. The record is from RNAcentral.